Molecule: long non-coding RNA, 285 nt
Filed under: Coffea arabica (coffee)
Lineage: Eukaryota; Viridiplantae; Streptophyta; Magnoliopsida; Gentianales; Rubiaceae
Description: long non-coding RNA (CARA_LNC004672)
Source: RNAcentral
CAUCAUUCAACUUCCUUUGGGCGGCCAUCUCAGACGCCAUCUCUCCAAACUUGGUAAGCAUCUCAGUCAACUGAAUCCCCAAACUUGCAGUCUCGGGUUGAGCGGUAGUAGCAGACCUAUCUGACUGUUCCGGUUGUGAACUCAUGUUUACACGACUCCUCUGGGCUUGACUACGGGAUCGCGUUAUGAUGGGGCUUCGACGAGAAGCUAUAUUUAAAUAUUACCUGAGAAUUUUUGAAAGAUUGCCUUUAGAUUUAACCCUCGCUUAGUUAUUCCAAUAAAAAC